Long non-coding RNA from Camelus dromedarius (Arabian camel), 2809 nucleotides. RefSeq lists it as uncharacterized. The transcript is spliced from 7 exons. Lineage: Eukaryota; Metazoa; Chordata; Mammalia; Artiodactyla; Camelidae. The record is from RefSeq and is a predicted model, not a curated record.
ACCAGUAUAUGGUGUAGGCUCAGGGGAGGCAGCGGCUGUAGUAACAGUGGGCCGCGGUGCCACAGACAGGGUUUAAAGUAGCCAUUGUCUACACCGGCAGAAUGGACGCUAAGCAGAGUUUGCUGUUUUCUGGGAGGGAAGACAUCUGGAACUGUGUGUUUCCAGAAGAAAAUGCACCUUUGAAUUUGUGCAACUGGCUCACAAAUUUGUGGGGCUGGUUUAACAUUCUCUGUAAGGCUGUUGUCUUCAUACCUGCUGGUGAGGCUUGGUGUCCACAAGGUGGGCAGCCAGGAAGGGAAGAUCAGGAGCAGGCUGGCACUCACAGGUUUACUCCUGGUUCCUCUGACUUUACUGAUGAGUAUGACCUGCAGAAGCUGGGGCUCUCUGUCAGAGAGUUAAACCGGGACACCUGCUUCAGGAGUCAGCGAGGCUGAAGGAGGAUCCAGGAAGAUCAUCAACUGCAGCCCUGGCGGUUGCUUCGCACCCACCAGAUGGCACAGAGAGGGCAAAGUGGCCACAGACUUGUUCAAGGUGAAGUCAGCCAUUUGUCGGAAUGCCUUGUGGAUCAGUCAUGUUGAGGGAAUCGACUAACGCUGAUUACACUCGCUUGUUGCAGAGGUACUAGGAGAGGGAGGUAGCUGCUGCCCUCCUUUGCCAGGAGCACCGGGGACUUGGAAGCUCUGUAACUGCACUUCCAUUGACUGUGGACUUUAAUGCCUGCUUUUCCUACAAUAGAGCUAAAUUGGCUAAGCUGGUCUUCUAAAGUCAGAUCAUGUCUUUUGUUCUCUAACUAUAACAAAAAAUACAAUAUAGCUUUUUUAAGGGACUGAUUUGUAAUAACUAUAAAGACAAAUCAAGCCCAGUUAGUCAUUGGCUUACAUCUUAUCUCCCACCAUAAUGGCAGAAAUUAAUGGAAUAAAAGUACUCUAUUCAAAGACAAAUUAUCAUUUCACUGAUCUACUUCAGUCAAAAAUGAGUACCUACAGAGAAAAUAAUAUAUGCCAUCAGAAGCAAUUUGGGGAAGUGACUUUUCUGUGGUAAGUUGGUCUCUAAGAUUUAUAAUUUUCCACAUUGAACAGGGUUGAUCUGUUGUGAUCAAUAGAUUACAGAAGAAGUGAUGAUUGUGUCACCCUCCAGAUUAGGUUAUAAAAGAUACAGCAGGCUCCCCUAGAUUGUUCUUCCCUUCUUGGAUUGCUCACUGUGGGGAAGCUGGCUGUUCUGUGAAGAGGAAAUUUAGUCAGCCCUGUGGUUCACAUGGUGGAGGACUGAGACCUUCAGCUGUUAGCCAGCAAGGAACUGAGUUCUGCCUGAAACCACAGGAGUGAGCAUAAAAGCUGAUUUCCAGCACCAGGUAGGCUUCCAGAUGACUGAAUCCCAGCCAACAGCUUGGCAACACCUCAUAAAAGUCUCUCAGCCACAACCAUCCAGCUAAGCUAUUCCCAGUUUCCUGUGCCUCACAAACUGGGUGAAAUAAUAGAAGUUAUCUUAAGCUGCAAAAUUUUGGAAUAAUUUUUUAGGCAGCAAUAGAUAACUGAUGUACUUUUCAUGCAAAUUUCCUGAGUUUGCCUUCUCAGUUCCUGUGGUUUAAUAAAUGACGAAAACUUUUAUUUGCCGCUUUGGGAUUGAAUUUUUAUAUUCAGUGCUGAUGGAAUACAUUGAGCCCUAUACACAUUUGCUGUAUCAGUGACUCCAUAAUUAAAGAAUCUUGCAUUUUCUUUUUCACUUUCUGCCUCAUGGCACCAUACAGCUAUUGCAUGCUUUAAAUUAUAUUCAGUGGAAUUUUGAGUAUCUCUCAUUGACUUCCCCCACUUAGGCACAACAUCUAGCAUUACUGUGGUUAUACUUUCCUGUACAAUCUCUGUUGUCUUAUCUCCAUGCCUUUAUUAACGCCGUUCCUUCUGUCCAAAAUGGUUUUCCCCUCUAGUUCUAUCGGGUGAUAUCUUGUCUAUCUUUCAAGACCCGCUUAUAUAGAACUUUCUUGUCAACCAUCCUUUCUCAAGAGAAGACCUAUCCAUCUGUGUUUCUGUUGCUUAUAAAUGAGAAAAAAGAGCACAGUAUUUUGAAAUUUCUUACUCUUAUUGGCUUGUGUUCCAACAUCAAUGCAUGCUUUAAGAGCAGAGUUCAUAUGAGUUCACGGUUUGUCCUCCAUAGCAUCUAACACUGUUUAGAUACAAAGGAAAUAAUCCCAUUGAGCCAGUUUAAUGUGGUUAGAAUUUGUUGGAGAAGGACUAUUUUCUGUAAAAUCAUGAUUGCUAUUAAGCCCCAAAGAAACAUUACAUAAUUCUGUACCAGAAAUACUUAGGGCCCAGACAAUGUGAGAAUGAAGCUGUUCCACAUGCUAGUUUUGGUUCAGUUGUUUCUUAACACAUUCUUUGCUAGAUAUUCUGUGGAUAGCACUAAGUUGAUUUGAGCGCCCAGAAUGUAUAACAUAUAGUAAAUGUGUGGUGAAAAUAUGUUGAAUAUAUGACUUAAUUAACGGUAGCUUAGAGAAGUGUGAAAUGCUAAGACACGCACACACACGGAAAUAGUCACAAGACCAAAACUGCUCUGUAUUAAGAGAUUUAACAUGCAUUCCUUCAUGAGGCUGCUGAGGAAGUGUCAAUUAAUUAGUUCUCUAGAGUAAAGCUAAGAAUCCCGAAUUGAAGAACUAAUUUUUCCUCUUUUCUUUAGCUGUAGAUUUUCAGAAUUGAAAAUAGUAAUACUGGGGGAAAAAAAUGUUCUUAUCAGCCAGCCUGUAAUAAGUCAACAUAGUCUAUUUUCAUUUUAAUAUGAACAUGCAAAACACUUUUUUUUGUUAAGAAUUGAAACA